Molecule: ribosomal RNA, 368 nt
Filed under: uncultured organism
Description: bacterial SSU rRNA
Rfam family: Bacterial small subunit ribosomal RNA
Source: RNAcentral
CGGAGGGUGCAAGCGUUAUCCGGAUUCACUGGGUUUAAAGGGUGCGUAGGUGGGUUGGUAAGUCCGUGGUGAAAUCCCCAAGCUUAACUUGGGAACUGCCGUGGAUACUAUCAAUCUUGAAUAUCGUUGAGGUAAGCGGAAUAUGUCAUGUAGCGGUGAAAUGCUUAGAUAUGACAUAGAACACCGAUAGCGGAGGCAGCUUGCUAAGCGAUUAUUGACACUGAGGCACGAAAGCGUGGGGAGCAAACAGGAUUAGAUACCCUGGUAGUCCACGCCCUAAACGAUGAUUACUCGACAUACGCGAUACACAGUGUGUGUCUGAGCGAAAGCAUUAAGUAAUCCACCUGGGAAGUACGAUCGCAAGAUUG